This 554-nucleotide ribosomal RNA is filed under the name uncultured bacterium. RNAcentral's name for it is "bacterial SSU rRNA". It matches the Rfam family "Archaeal small subunit ribosomal RNA", at positions 725 to 1275 of the family's 1478-position model. The record is from RNAcentral.
AGUGAAUAGAUACCCGGGUAGUCCUAGCCGUAAACGAUACUCGCUAGGUGUCGGCCACGGUGCGACCGUUGUCGGUGCCGUAGGGAAAGCCGUGAAGCGAGCCACCUGGGAAGUACGGCCGCAAGGCUGAAACUUAAAGGAAUUGGCGGGGGAGCACCACAACGGGUGGAGCUUGCGGUUUAAUUGGAUUCAACGCCGGAAAUCUUACCGGGACCGACAGCAACAUGAAGGCCAGGCUGAAGACUUUGCCGGAUUAGCUGAGAGGUGGUGCAUGGCCGUCGUCAGUUCGUACUGUGAAAGCAUCCUGUUAAGUCAGGCAACGAGCGAGACCCACGCCCACAGUUGCCAGCGUACUCUCCGGAGUGACGGGUACACUGUGGGGACCGCCGCUGCUAAAGCGGAGGAAGGAAUGGGCAACGGUAGGUCAGUAUGCCCCGAAUAUCCCGGGCUACACGCGAGCUACAAUGGUUGGUACAAUGGGUAUCUACCCCGAAAGGGGAUGGAAAUCUCCUAAAGCCAAUCUUAGUUCGGAUUGAGGGCUGCAACUCGCCCUC